ACCGUUUCUGGCCUUUUGGCUUUGAUCAAGUGUAGUAUCUGUUCUUUCUAGACGAAACUCUAGAAUUAGGUCAUCGACCUAACAAAAGUUUCUCUGAUCUUUCGCGCCUGAAUCGAUUCGAUGGCUUGCUGUCGGUCCUUUCGCAAUGCUGGCUCGUAUCACACUUUCGCGUACCGGUGUUAAGGCAU
This 188-nucleotide small nuclear RNA is filed under the name Mixia osmundae IAM 14324. RNAcentral describes it as "U2 spliceosomal RNA". It matches the Rfam family "U2 spliceosomal RNA". From Rfam's summary of the family: U2 is a small nuclear RNA (snRNA) component of the spliceosome (involved in pre-mRNA splicing). Complementary binding between U2 snRNA (in an area lying towards the 5' end but 3' to hairpin I) and the branchpoint sequence (BPS) of the intron results the bulging out of an unpaired adenosine, on the BPS, which initiates a nucleophilic attack at the intronic 5' splice site, thus starting the first of two transesterification reactions that mediate splicing. Lineage: Eukaryota; Fungi; Basidiomycota; Mixiomycetes; Mixiales; Mixiaceae. The record is from Rfam by way of RNAcentral.